GAUGUUGGGUUAGUCUCGCAACGAGCGCAACCCUAUCUUUAUUGCCAGCAUUAAGUUGGGCACUCUAGAGAGACUGCCCGGGUUAACCGGGAGGAAGGUGGGGAUGACGUCAAGUCCUCAUGGCCCUUAUGCCUUGGGCUACACACGUAAUACAAUGGUGGGAACAAAGGGAAGCGAUCAGGUGACUGUUAGCAAAUCUCAAAAAUCCCAUCUCAGUCCGGAUUGGAGUCUGCAACUCGACUCCAUGAAGUUGGAAUCGCUAGUAAUCGCGGAUCAGCACGCCGCGGUGAAUACGUUCCCGGGCCUUGUACACACCGCCCGUCACACCAUGGGAGUUGGUUCAAUCUUAAGACGUGACUCUAACCUUCGGGGGGAGAGCGUCUACGGUGGGACCGAUGACUGGGGUGAAGUCGUAACAAGGUAGCCGUAGGGGAACCUGCGGCUGGAUCACCUCCUUUU
RNAcentral lists this ribosomal RNA (459 nucleotides) under uncultured Gammaproteobacteria bacterium. RNAcentral describes it as "bacterial SSU rRNA". It matches the Rfam family "Bacterial small subunit ribosomal RNA", at positions 1071 to 1533 of the family's 1533-position model. Lineage: Bacteria; Pseudomonadati; Pseudomonadota; Gammaproteobacteria. The record is from RNAcentral.